GAUGAACGCUGGCGGCGUGCCUAAUACAUGCAAGUCGAGCGAACGGACGAGAAGCUUGCUUCUCUGAUGUUAGCGGCGGACGGGUGAGUAACACGUGGAUAACCUACCUAUAAGACUGGGAUAACUUCGGGAAACCGGAGCUAAUACCGGAUGAUAUUUUGAACCGCAUGGUUCAAAAGUGAAAGACGGUCUUGCUGUCACUUAUAGAUGGAUCCGCGCUGCAUUAGCUAGUUGGUAAGGUAACGGCUUACCAAGGCAACGAUGCAUAGCCGACCUGAGAGGGUGAUCGGCCACACUGGAACUGAGACACGGUCCAGACUCCUACGGGAGGCAGCAGUAGGGAAUCUUGCGCAAUGGGCGAAAGCCUGACGGAGCAACGCCGCGUGAGUGAUGAAGGUCUUCGGAUCGUAAAACUCUGUUAGUAGGGAAGAACAUAUGUGUAAGUAACUGUGCACAUCUUGACGGUACCUAAUCAGAAAGCCACGGCUAACUACGUG
RNAcentral lists this ribosomal RNA (497 nucleotides) under uncultured bacterium. RNAcentral's name for it is "partial 16S ribosomal RNA". It matches the Rfam family "Bacterial small subunit ribosomal RNA", at positions 28 to 507 of the family's 1533-position model. The record is from RNAcentral.